RNAcentral lists this long non-coding RNA (508 nucleotides) under Heterocephalus glaber (naked mole-rat). RNAcentral describes it as "lncRNA (ENSHGLG00000043544.1)". Lineage: Eukaryota; Metazoa; Chordata; Mammalia; Rodentia; Bathyergidae. The record is from RNAcentral.
CUUAGUUCUAAAGUAUCUCCUUAUGCCAAGUAUUAUUCAUUUUUCCCAGAAAUAUUACCUGUAAAAAAUUAUCAGUCUGAGCUGAUACAGUAAUUUAGAAUAAUAGGCCAUUACGAUCCCGGAGAUAUUGAUUUAUUUGUAUUAUUACUAUUUGACUUUUCACUGACACCUGGUGAACUUGGAGUCUCAGAGAUCCAGGGAGUUAUUUUAGUCAGGGUGUCCUUGCCCUCCUGCUGGUAGAUUAAUUGCAUAUUAAACAUCGUGUUUUCAAAACAAAAUGAUAAAUCUGGACACAUAAAGGAGCCACAGAAAGAAUCACUACGAAGGAGAGCAGAGGACGUUAAGAAAGAAGACAAGAGAUUGCAAAAGAGAUACAGAAAGAAGAAAAUCCCGACUCUGAAUGGAUUGGAUUGCGAGUUUGCACGUGAGAAGACCGUUUGGCUUGACUUGGACCCCUGCCUUCCCCCACGCCCUCCACACACCCAGUCCAGGGGUCCCCUUAUCACCC